AUACCUUUCUCGGCCUUUUGGCUAAGAUCAAGUGUAAUAUCUGUUUUUAUCAGUUUAAUAUCUGAUAUGUGGGCUAUCGGCUCACACGAUAUUAACUCAAUUUUUUAAGGAAAACUUAC
This is a small nuclear RNA of Nicotiana attenuata, 119 nucleotides long. It matches the Rfam family "U2 spliceosomal RNA". From Rfam's summary of the family: U2 is a small nuclear RNA (snRNA) component of the spliceosome (involved in pre-mRNA splicing). Complementary binding between U2 snRNA (in an area lying towards the 5' end but 3' to hairpin I) and the branchpoint sequence (BPS) of the intron results the bulging out of an unpaired adenosine, on the BPS, which initiates a nucleophilic attack at the intronic 5' splice site, thus starting the first of two transesterification reactions that mediate splicing. The record is from Rfam. NCBI's taxonomy places the organism in Eukaryota, Viridiplantae, Streptophyta, Magnoliopsida, Solanales, Solanaceae.